RNAcentral lists this ribosomal RNA (31 nucleotides) under Trichoderma harzianum. RNAcentral describes it as "partial 18S ribosomal RNA". Lineage: Eukaryota; Fungi; Ascomycota; Sordariomycetes; Hypocreales; Hypocreaceae. The record is from RNAcentral.
UGUUGGUCUUUGCUCCUGCGGAGGGAUCAUU